AAUAAAAUAUAUCUAAUAUCUUUCCAUAGAUUUUACAGGAUUACCUAGAAAAGCGCGAGCCUUUACCAUCCUAGUACUACAAAUCCCCAGUUUCCCAAACCCUUGCCGGUUACAUAGACAUGUUACCCUAACCUUAACCACAUUCCCUUUCCUUGUUACGAUUUUCAUUCGUUCACGCCUCAAAUUAAACGCGGUCGUUUUCAGUUCAGAGAGGAGGAACAUUUCGCUAAUGAUGUCAGAAACCUCUUUAGAAGAUUUUAUGUCGGCUCUGCAAAGCAACACGACAAACCUUUGGAUUCAAAUCUUCCAUGUUUUCCUCCACACCAUCGACCAACACUACCUUUGGCUUGAGCAAAACGAUGUACCGCUCGUCGUCAUAGAAUUAGAAGAGAACAGCACGACGGCGUGCAGAGAGCUCGGAGAGUAGGAAGCUGUAGCGGUUGUCUCUUGGGAUGCAAGUAUGCAACUGUUGGUGAAAUUUCUUUGCUACCUGAGAGCUGUAACACACUGCCUUCAAGCUGCUACAUCUGACUGAUGGAAUGGAACAUUAACAUUCACUGACAUCACUGAUGGAUGUACUUGGGACGACAGUUGAAAAAAUGUUGUUUGCAAAAUAACUUGUACAUGGGACAACAGUUGAAAUUUGUUAAAAAGAAUCUGAAAAAGUUGUUUUUUUUUUUUUUUGCAUUUCAAAAUUUGUAACUUAUGAUUAUAGCUUUUUCUCUUUUCACAAAAUUUAAUUCUGUUUAUGAAUGAUUAUGUGUAUAAGGAACUAUUGAAAUAAUUUAAAUUUUACAGUCAUCUCAAUGACACUA
This is a long non-coding RNA of Glycine soja, 815 nucleotides long. RefSeq lists it as uncharacterized. NCBI's taxonomy places the organism in Eukaryota, Viridiplantae, Streptophyta, Magnoliopsida, Fabales, Fabaceae. The record is from RefSeq and is a predicted model, not a curated record. The transcript has 2 exons.